Molecule: long non-coding RNA, 1104 nt
Organism: Phragmites australis (common reed)
Lineage: Eukaryota; Viridiplantae; Streptophyta; Magnoliopsida; Poales; Poaceae
Exons: 3
Source: RefSeq, a predicted model, not a curated record
CUAUGCUGUUCUCCAUCAGCGUCAGUUUUGAUUGGAACUCAGUCGUGCGGAGAACGUCGACGUCGAGCUCCACCGUGCCGUGGAAGCCAAAAGCAUAUAAAAAUCCACCCGACUGGAUCAUCAUCGGCACCGUUUGCGAUCAGGAUUCGCCUACGUGUCGAACAGCGAGUCCGUAAUUCAGGCCGGCGUCGUCGGUGAGAAGCUCUCUCCUGCAGUCAAUGCGCGUGACGAAUCUGGAGCAAGUAAAGCAACCCGGCUUACGCCUAUGGUUAUCCAUUGACAGUGGCGGAUCAACACCACCAAGAAGUCCACGUGUCCAUAUCUUGGACCGAUCAACGGCGCUGUACCGGCAAAGAAAACAACUCGCCGGUGCGGGUCCUGCUGGAGAUCGAGCAGGCGAACAGUGUCGCCGACAAUACCUCAUCCUUCUCAACCGACGACCGACGGUGAAAACUACAGGUCGCCUCGCUGACUUCGAUCGCCCGCUGAGCGGCUUAGUUUUUUCAGGGCUGCUAAUGAUCUGUUUUUGCCAUUAAAUCCUCUAGAUUAUGCGACCACUUGUGUACCGUAAGGAUGCACCUGCUGCGAAUCACAUCAUAUAGGCAGGCUCUUUUCUGAAUUUUUACCUGUUCAAAUUGCACUUCGGAGUUUAGAGAUAUCAAGGAAGUGACGCUGGAUGAUGGACAAGAUGAAGGCUUCUUGGUAGUACAUCAGAAAGGACGGCAAAAAAGAAACCUGGUGUUUUUGACUGAGCAGUGCUUGUGUGGUAUCACAAGUACGAACAGCUUGAACAUAGAAAUGAUCAAGCAGACAGAUGAAGGGGAUUGAAUCAAGAAGAAUAAACAGGGCGCCAGGUCAAAUUGGAACUCUUGGUUUAUUUGACUGCUCUUCAGAUGUGAAUUCAACACGAAAAGGGCAUGGCCUGCAACAAUUUUCUAUACGUCUGUACUGCUAUAGUAUAGUUUACAUGGAACACGCAUUGUGGUUGAAGGGAUGCUAUGAUUCCUUACGCCUAAAAUCUCAUAAAUUUAUAAUGUAUGCUUCGUGUAGGAUACCAAUAUACCAUUUGUCCUCUUCGGUGUAGGAUGUUAGGAACAAAAGGAG